This 450-nucleotide ribosomal RNA is filed under the name uncultured bacterium. RNAcentral describes it as "partial 16S ribosomal RNA". It matches the Rfam family "Bacterial small subunit ribosomal RNA", at positions 354 to 796 of the family's 1533-position model. The record is from RNAcentral.
GUGGGGAAUCUUCCGCAAUGGACGAAAGUCUGACGGAGCAACGCCGCGUGAGUGAUGAAGGUCUUCGGAUUGUAAAGCUCUGUUAAUCGGGACGAAAGAGCCUAGUGUGAAUAAUGCUAGGAAGUGACGGUACCGGAAUAGAAAGCCACGGCUAACUACGUGCCAGCAGCCGCGGUAAUACGUAGGUGGCAAGCGUUGUCCGGAAUUAUUGGGCGUAAAGCGCGCGCAGGCGGAUCUGCCAGUCUGUCUUAAAAGUUCGGGGCUUAACCCCGUGAUGGGAUGGAAACUACAGAUCUAGAGUAUCGGAGAGGAAAGUGGAAUUCCUAGUGUAGCGGUGAAAUGCGUAGAUAUUAGGAAGAACACCAGUGGCGAAGGCGACUUUCUGGACGAUGUCUGACGCUGAGGCGCGAAAGCUAGGGGAGCGAACGGGAUUAGAUACCCUGGUAGUCC